CCCGUAGUCCCCCCUCAUGGUUAUAUGAUUUUAGGUGUGCUAAGUCAACUUAUCAGUGACGUAGGAUUUGUCAAACGGUAUGGUUUAACUGCUAAGAGGAAUGGUUCGUUCGUAGUUUAGCCAUCCUGUACCUGUACGUAUGUCUAGGUGAUACGUACGUACCACGUGGUCUGGUCUCGUCGGCCCACUUUUGGCGUGGCGUAAAGAAAAGUAAAGACCUAGGAGACGGUGCCGCACGAGACGUAAUGUGCGGUUUCGACGCGGGUAGUCCCGGUUUCCCAGAGGGGCGGAGGAGGCAUAUAGUGGCAGCGGUGGAGAGGGAGGGAGGGAGCAAGGGAAGAGAGGGAGGGAGAGAGAGAGAGUGAGUGUAAAACGGUGUCUGGGAGUCACGCGGUACCUGCUUCCUCCUCCCCCGGACGUGAGCGGAGGAGAGCGCUCCCACGUCCUCUACAAGGAGGAGGCGCGGCGCCGAAACGAGCCGCUAAGCGGUUCAAGGUAACAUAGCGUUAUGGACGCUCUUACCGGUCUUCAUAUAAGUGGAACAAAGACCUGCUCGUGAAAACAUAACUAUGUUGACCAUAAAUAGAGCUCAUAGCGCCGAGUCAUAGACAAGUUCUCUUAGUCUACCACGUCCGUCUCUAACUUCUGACGUUGAGGACUUUCGUUAUUCGUAAGAUUAGUCCUUGUUGUCUUACGUCUGUAUUUCGACCCGCAGAGUAUAGUUCGUUCGUUUCAGACGACGGACGAAUAUAAUCGGUGAGUACAGGACUCCUAUAAGAAAGACGUCAAUGUUCCUUCUUAUUCACCAACGUUCAUGGGUGGAAAACAAGACCCACUUCCGUAUGUCCACGAGAGGACCUAUUAUAACAGUGAUCGUCAUAAGUCAGAUGUCUUCUGUUUAAGACGUUUCGUAGGCGAGUAAUAAGCCCGUACCAACUAUGAAUCGAAAGACGUUAGUCAUUAGUCACACUAUAAACUAGAGUCCAAGUCAAAUAGUCUAGUACCUAUACACCCCAAACGGCUUAACUACCUGGACAAGUGUGAACAAUAGACGAGAAUAAACAAACGUUAAAGACGGUCUCCUUUUUGUCCUUAGUAAAGUUAUUUGUCGCCGUAUUGUCUCGGUGAUAACUCAGGUAGACGUCCUGUCGUCUGUCUUUGGUUUUCCUGUACAGACAUACCGUCCCGUUCGCAAGACCUGGAGCAGUGGAAGAGCACCUACCCAGGAGAUAAACGAUGACCUAUAUUCUUUGGAGAUCUAUUCUUACUACACGGUCUAUAACUACUUUCCCUGAUACGGCUAAACGAGAGACUAAGUAAAUUUUCCUAGGACCGUCUACAACUUGCGUCCGUACCAAACUCAUGAAAUAGUUAGAUAUCUCGUUACAAGGAUAAAUAAUCUUCUUUUCGUUAUUAGUUGCGUCAUAAACGCUAGGAUACACGUACACGCAGGAUACAACCUGGUAGUGACUAAUUACUGAACCACUCCAAGGAGCCCCCUCUCUCCUUCAUACCUGACUUUUUUCCAAUAUAAGAACGACGACGUAAAAAUUCACGGUUUCAACACCUCUGUCAUCGAGUCUCCGUCACCUAAAAACCCCGAGCUGCCGAGCCCUACGCCGAUGCUCGACGAAACUAUAGGGUGUAGAUAGUUUUCCCCGAGGCCAAUAGGACGUCACGUUCCGUUUUCGUAUGGUCACCUCUCUAGUAUUUGAUGUACUCACAUCUAUAUGUCUCCUAUUGGCUACAAUAUACCAUGUGUUUGAUGUAAACCUACAAUGGGUAUGUCGAAAGAGAUCGUCAGAUACAAGAGAUAGAUUUGGAUCCCCGACCUCGUACCCGACCAAAUCGUCGUUGUGACCAUUAUUACCGAACGUUAUAAGGAGACUGGUCUGACGUCUUUUCCAACGUUAGUCUCUAGUACCGACGAUUUCUGUUGUCUUACUUCCGUUGUUGCCUUCAUGAAUCUUCGUACUUUUAUGACUUUGAAGUUCGUACCCUAUGUCUCAUGGAAGUUUUCGAUCUUCGAAACGCUUCCCUCCUCGUGUUAACCAACACCUUUAGACACUCCAACUGUCGAAAGUGUUGUAAGUAUAAAACCCCCAGGGGACGUAAGUAUAGGAGGUAUUGUAAGCCAUGUACAUAUAACUACCCCUAAGGAGAUUGUCGACCAUGACAAAACAGACGAGAACGUUGCAAGGCCUACGAUGUUCUAGGUUAGAAGUGUGAAGGGCUAAAUGAAAGCCACAAACGAGUUCCUUUUCAAAGUCGACUAGCUCAUCGUGUUAUGGAGGUCCUUCUUCUUAACUUUCUGCUACGUUAAUGUCUUCAUGGUUCCUCACGGUGUCUGAUACUACACCUCUAACUAGUACCUCGUAAGUCGACCCUUGAACUUUGGUGUAGAGGUUGAUAUUGUCUACAUUUAAAUUUUCAUUUCUCUCCCUACUUUCAUCGUUAGACACCUUACCAGCCGAGACCCUUUAGGUCAGAUAAUAGUACGUAUGAACCCCUCUACGGAUUCGAUCGGCCCCGGCACUCCCAGUCACCCUCGUCUCGUAUACAAGGAGUCUGACGGACCUAGGACAGACCCUUGUAGUCUCUGUUGUAAGACAAACCUUUGGGUAUACUGUUCCUUUUCAUGCUUUUCUAUUAUGUUCGAACACGUAACUGAUUUCUAGAACUCGAUAAACGUUUACCACUAAACUGUCUCUAACCUCUUUCUCCUUAAUUGUACUCACCACCUGUCUUCGUCGCCUAAGUCUAACGUUCCAGUCACAUGCUCCUACGUCUAUAUAUAGAGAAACUACUAGGGAAGUCACGUCAUCUACGAGUGUGGCCUCGGGUUGAAAAGUUCCUAACGGACUACCCCUACGAAUUUCUAUUUUGCUAUAACAUACACUGGGUAGUUCAACUUAAAGAAGGUCGACGUCUGGAAUAUGAUCACUACGUCCUACCCUUCUAACACGUCUUUCCUUCUAAACUACUAGAAGAAUUUGUCUUGUAUCCUAAACUUUGGUAUCAGCCUCGGGUAUCAGUCCGUUAACUGAGACAAUAUUUACGGCUCUCAAGGUCGUCUUAAAACAGUUGUCUCUCGGUUUUCAAUCGUCUAUCACUACUACUCAAACUCUCUCUUUUGCUGUGACUACUAGUUCAAGUCCCGUAUUAAUUCGUUCUCAGACUUGUGCUACAGAGCGUUCCAGAGUUACUUUUUCCUUCCGACUGUGUUCUCCUUCUUGCUCUUUUCCCUCCUUAACCGUUCUGCCAGAUGACCCGUAUGGACUGCCGAUAAGUACCACCGCGUAAUCGUGGUCAUUAUCACCGCCGUGUCAGUAAGAAGGUUUAUAAGGUUCAUCGUUCGUUGAUAACCUACCGUACCCGCACAGGAGGUUGUAGACGUUGGUGAGGUUCUCAACCUAAUCCGGAAGAAAACAGACAUAUGAAUCACGAUAGAUAUCCUUCACGUGAUACACAAAAACCAGCCAGAUACGAACACAGUGAACAACCGGACAAUUGUCGUCUCUUCAAGAAGUUCUUAUACGAGGUAACGUAAGAGGCUCGAGGGUACAGGAAGAAACUAAGGUGUGGGUGACCGUCCUAGGAUUUGUCCCAGAGGUCACUGGUUUCACAAAAUCUAGACCUUUAUCGUUCGUUCGAACCAACCACGCGCAAAAGUCAAUAUGUUUAAGACCCCUGGUAACCUCAAUACAGUGUUCAACGCACCGGUCAAAAACGGUAGAAAUAAGGUCACUGUCGUUAGACAAUACACAAAGUUUCCAUGAUGUAUGGUUGUCGCUCUCUCGACCGAGCAGAGAGUGUUUAAGUUUCCCGAGGUUAGGAGGUAGUAAAGCGCCUUAGUGAAUGUCCUCGCCGUUCAUAAUCUCGUAUACCUGUCUUUCUGGCAAAGUCUUUUCGUUUGUAGUCAGAACAAUUGUUGGUGAGUGCUGGUACCAAGGUAUUGUAGAGUCGAUAGCUCACCGAAACGAAGUCCGAUUUGUACGAUAGAUUGAAACAGAAACGGAAAAGAAACUGAGACAACCACUCAGAAGGGCUUCCAAAAUAUUUAGGUUCGUAGCGACCUGAACGUCACUGAAUACGUGACUUGGAGUUACCCGUCAACAGUAGAUAUUGGACCUUGUAAACGUUGUGUCUCUUAUUUUACUAAAGUCAACUUUCUUAUUACGUCAUGAGUUCCUAGGGAUCACUCCGAGGAGAUUAUCAACUGCUAGUGGCCGGGGGUUUGUCGACCGGUUUCCUACCCUGAUAAUUAUAUUCUUUAAACCUCCAAGCUAUACGUCUCGUAGAGGGUAGACAAAAUUCUUUAUAUAGUACAUGUUAAGGUCCUGCCUUCUUCCACCCCUAACAACCUGCAUGGCCUUCACCUUUCAGUUGAAACUAAGUUCGUGAAAAGGCCUAACAACUUGGUUCCCAUCCUUGUUAUCUUUAACUGCUACAACUAGAGUCGUUUUAGCCCAACGUACUAAAUGCUCCGUCUGAAUCGUAGUAGGGUGUUCUAGGUUGGUACAAACUCCCGUGUCACUCUCCUUUAGAACUAGGUGACUUACUUAUAAGACUGGUUGUAUAUACCCUCUGUAACCUGUUUACGGUCGAACCACUGUAUCAAGCAGUUUCGGGUUUCUUCGACCUGAGUUGUCAACAGCUUUUACCCCUUUUGACCUCACAGCCUGUCUCCGUCAACAAAACGGACCCUUCCUAAGAUGACUUCGCUUCGUUACAGGAACAGGAGCUACUCCGUUGACGAAGUCAACUGAGUAGAUGUCUACGUUAAUAGGUCGUUUGUGAGGCACUCCUCAAACCCCUGACGUGCCACGACUGUCAUCGUGUAUCUUAAGUGUGUCAAUAGCUGUCACUAGAAUAAGAGCAGAAGUCGCUUCCUUCUUAAUAUCUUAUGCUGUGCGGCAGCUCUAAUGACCUCCUGCUCUUGAGACUUAAGAGGUCCGAGUAGUUCCUCAUGAGUGCCUCUAGGUUCCCCAAGAUUUCGUGGUGUUUGUUAACUUGCCGCCGCUUUAGCCGUACUUGGGUUGAUCCGCGUGUCGUCUCGGGCCGUCUUUCUGGCGAGUGUGUGUGGUGUGCCGGAAAGAGGUCUGCUGUUCGUGAGUGCUUUGGGUGGGUCUGUUUCUGCUAUAUCCUACAUGUUACCUGCCCUGAUCGAUCUAAUAAGUCCGCUAAACCUUUUUAAUAGUUUCGGUACAUUACAUUAUGUCAUGUCAUCGUGAUACAUUUUACGAGAGACUACACUACAGUCUUUCUAGC
This 5271-nucleotide ribosomal RNA is filed under the name Triticum aestivum (bread wheat). RNAcentral's name for it is "partial small subunit ribosomal RNA". The record is from RNAcentral. Lineage: Eukaryota; Viridiplantae; Streptophyta; Magnoliopsida; Poales; Poaceae.